Molecule: transfer RNA, 67 nt
Filed under: chicken gut metagenome
Rfam family: tRNA
About the family: Transfer RNA (tRNA) molecules are approximately 80 nucleotides in length. Their secondary structure includes four short double-helical elements and three loops (D, anti-codon, and T loops).
Source: RNAcentral
AAACGUGGUUUAAUGGCAGAACCUCAGCUUCCCAAGCUGAUGGCGCGGGUUCGAUUCCCGUCGUUUG